Long non-coding RNA from Sinocyclocheilus grahami, 943 nucleotides. RefSeq lists it as uncharacterized. The transcript is spliced from 4 exons. NCBI's taxonomy places the organism in Eukaryota, Metazoa, Chordata, Actinopteri, Cypriniformes, Cyprinidae. The record is from RefSeq and is a predicted model, not a curated record.
AGUAAGAAGAAGAAGAAGAAGAUGCUUCACUCGCUCAACAAGGUGUCUAGAGACCUCUAAUACAGCAUGGCGUCCGAUGAACCUAAACCCAAGAGGAUUAAACUCGAGGAAAAAAAGCUCAGUCAAAAUGCCCUUUUCGGGAUGGGAAACCCCCUGCUUGACAUCUGUGCUGUGGUGGACAAAGACUUUCUAGACAAGUAUGGACUCAAGCCAAAUGACCAGAUAUUAGCAGAGGAGAAACACAAGGAAAUAUUCAACCUUGGGAGAACAGGCACAGUGGAAGCUUAGAGAACAGAAUAAGUAAUGACACUUUCGUCUUCCUGGGAUGUGGCUCACCGUGAAAUGGGCUAUUGAUUUUAAACAGAUAAACUGUUCUCUUUUGUGUUGAGAAAUUACUGAACAAUUUAAUUAGGGCUGAAACAACAAUAUUUAUUACCAGUUUUUCGCUCCGAUCCACCCCCUCCCCACUUUUUUUUUUUCCCAUGAAGUCCUCAGUGUCCUUGUAAACUACCAGAAUAAUUAAACAAACCGUGUUGCUUCGCUUGGUGUUGCUGAUUAGCAGCCUUACCCAAGAGAGGAAGAAAAGAGGGAAAUUAUAUCCAUUGAUCACGCUGCUAAUUCCUGAAGGUCUGGAAGAAUUGCCGCACCAGAUGACUCUGUUGAAAUGAGGAUUGACGGCCGCUUUUACAUUUGGUGUCGUCCUGCAUUGUUUGUGUCAUCCCAGUUAGUCUGUUAGCUAUUUGUCUAAAUAUAGCCUUCAGUGCCAAUCAAAUGGAAAACUUGAGAGAUUUCGACAGUGAAUUCUUGUGGAGAAAACGCUUGUCUUUCAGAUCUUCCUGUAGUUUUGAGUUUUUGAAGUACUGAUUCCUGUUGGCAAAUGAGUCUUACUAUCAUUGGUAAACUCAAUCAGUUUUACUUAGUUUGAUUACAUGUGGGUUUUGUG